Non-coding RNA from Metarhizium robertsii ARSEF 23, 91 nucleotides. The record is from Rfam. Lineage: Eukaryota; Fungi; Ascomycota; Sordariomycetes; Hypocreales; Clavicipitaceae.
CUCCGGGUAGUCUAGUUGGUUUAUGGCGUCUGACUGUAAUUGUCUAUUCAGUUGAAUCAGAAUGUCGCGUGUUCGAAUCACGCCCGGGAGA